GGCUGAAUAGUUUAAAAUAGAAUGAGAGUUUUGUAAUCUUUUAGUACCCAUACUGGGUUUUAGCCA
RNAcentral lists this transfer RNA (66 nucleotides) under Bankia setacea. Its description in RNAcentral is "tRNA-Thr". The record is from RNAcentral. Lineage: Eukaryota; Metazoa; Mollusca; Bivalvia; Myida; Teredinidae.